CGUGGAUCUAUGUGUGUGACAGUGAAAAUAAAUUAAAAACGCCGUGAGACGGAACCUAAGAAGAACGGCCUUCAGGCGUUGAGGCGGGGCGGCAGGCUCAUCUGCCUGUGGCUGAGGCGCCAGGUUUGAGGACCCCGGAAUUGAGGUUACACAGAGACAAGAUGGCAGAGUAAAAGAAUCUUGAAGCUCACCUCCUAUCGUGAGUACACCAAAAUUGCAACUGCUGAAUAACCAUCGAUAAAAAAAUGUUGGAAUCUACCAAAAACGGGUAUUCUGCAUCCAAGGACAUAAAGGAGAAACCUGGAGAUGGUAGGAGGGAGGCACUUGCAAUAUAAUCAAAUCCCAUACCCCCCGAUGGGUGACCCACAAAACUGGAGAACAAUUAUAUUGCAGAAGUUCUCCCUUAGGAGUGAGAGCUCUGAGCCCCAUGCCAGGUUCCCCAGCUAGGGGUCUAGUACCAGGAGGAGACAUCCCCAGAGCAUUUGGCUUUGAAGGCCAGUGAGGCUUGAAUGUUAGGAGUUCCACAGGACUGGGAGAAAGAGAGCUUCUACACUUGCAGGGUGCACAGAAGGUUGUGUGUGCACCAAGACCCAGGGCAAAGCAGUGACUCCGAAGCAGCCUGGCCUGAUCUAACUGCUCUUCAUGGAGGGUCUCCUGGGGAACGGAGGUUGGUGGUGGAUGGAGUGCUCUGACUCCCUUUGGGGUCAUAAAAGCUGGUGGCAGGUAUAUGGGGGAGGGUUCAUCUCUCUGAACUCUUGCUAGAGGCAGACAUCUUGCUUGGGUCAUUAGCACCAAGACCUGGUCCUGCCCAACGGCUUAUAAGCUCCAGUGCUGGGACACCUCAGGCCAAACAACCAAUAGGGUGGGAACAAAGCCCCAGCCAUCAUCACACAGGCUGCCUAAUAAAGACUUCCUGACCUACAUCCACCUCUAGACAGGCCCCUUGACAGGGCCGUGCCUACCAGAAGGCCAAGACCUGGCUCUACCCAACAGUGGGCAGACACUAAUCCCUCCAACCAAGAAACCUAUACAAGCCUCUAGACCAGCCUCAGCCAUUAGGGGGGCAGACACUAGAAGCAAGAAAAUUAUGAUCCUGCAGGCUGCAGAACUGAGUCUGCAACACAGGUCAGAACCUACCCUGGGACCAGCUGGUCCUUGGCCCUUGGGUGAUGAGAGGAGAAUGCACUGCUGGGAUACACAGGACAUCCCCCACAGAGAGCAACUUCUCCAAGGUUGAGAAACAUAACUAAGCUACUCCAAAUGUGUAAAAAUACAAAUAGAAACUUAAACAAAAUGAGAUGGCAAAGGAAUAUGUUCUAAAUGAAAGAACAAGAUAAAACCCCAGAAAAACCACUAAGUGGAGAUAGGCAGUCUACCCAAGAAAGAAUUCAGAGUAAUAAUGAUUAUAAAGAUUAUCCAAGAAUUCAGGAAAGAAUGGAUACACAGCAAGAAGGUAAAAGUUUGUUUUUUUCAGAGAGAUAGAAAAUAUAAAGAACAACCAGAGUUGAAGAGUACAAUAAAUGAAAUGAGAAAUAACUGGAAGGUCACCAUCACCCUGAUAUUAAAACCAAAGAUAUCACAAAAGAAAAUUACAUGGCAGUAUCACUGAUAGCAAAGGCACAGAAAUCCUCAACAAAAUACUAGCAUACCAAAUCCAACAUUACAUUAAAAGGAUCAUACACCAUGAUCAAGUGGUAUUUAUGCCAGGGAUGCAAGAAUUUUUCAUUGAGUCAAUGUGAUAUAUACCACAUUAGCAAAUUUAAGAAUAAAAACCACAUCUCAAUAGA
Sus scrofa (pig) is the source of this 1787-nucleotide long non-coding RNA. RefSeq lists it as uncharacterized. Lineage: Eukaryota; Metazoa; Chordata; Mammalia; Artiodactyla; Suidae. The record is from RefSeq and is a predicted model, not a curated record.